RNAcentral lists this ribosomal RNA (714 nucleotides) under uncultured bacterium. RNAcentral describes it as "bacterial SSU rRNA". It matches the Rfam family "Bacterial small subunit ribosomal RNA", at positions 46 to 779 of the family's 1533-position model. The record is from RNAcentral.
GCUUAGACUGCAAGUCGAACGAGGGGGGCUUGCCCCCCUAGUGGCGCACGGGUGAGUAAUGCGUAACUGACCUACCCCGAAGUCCGGGAUAACUGGGCGAAAGUUCAGCUAAUACCGGAUACCCAGAUGACUUUUGAGUCAUCUGGAAAGGUUUACUGCUUUGGGAUGGGGUUACGUUCCAUCAGCUUGUUGGUAGGGUAAAGGCCUACCAAGGCGACGACGGAUAGCCGGCCUGAGAGGGUGGCCGGCCACAGGGGCACUGAGACACGGGUCCCACUCCUACGGGAGGCAGCAGUUAGGAAUCUUCCACAAUGGGCGCAAGCCUGAUGGAGCGACGCCGCGUGAGGGAUGAAGGUUUUCGGAUCGUAAACCUCUGAAUCUGGGACGAAAGGCCCGCAAGGGAGAUGACGGUACCAGAGUAAUAGCACCGGCUAACUCCGUGCCAGCAGCCGCGGUAAUACGGAGGGUGCAAGCGUUACCCGGAAUCACUGGGCGUAAAGGGCGUGUAGGCGGUCCAAUAAGUCUGGCUUUAAAGACUGAGGCUCAACCUCAGGGAUGGGCUGGAGACUGUUGGACUAGACCUCUGGAGAGGAACUCGGAAUUUCUGGUGUAGCGGUGGAAUGCAUAGAUACCAGAAGGAACACCGAUGGCGAAGGCAGAGUUCUGGACAGAAGGUGACGCUGAGGCGCGAAAGUGUGGGGAGCGAACCGGAUU